RNAcentral lists this ribosomal RNA (495 nucleotides) under uncultured bacterium. Its description in RNAcentral is "partial 16S ribosomal RNA". It matches the Rfam family "Bacterial small subunit ribosomal RNA", at positions 28 to 507 of the family's 1533-position model. The record is from RNAcentral.
GACGAACGCUGGCGGCGUGCCUAAUACAUGCAAGUAGAACGCUGAAGGAGGAGCUUGCUUCUCUGGAUGAGUUGCGAACGGGUGAGUAACGCGUAGGUAACCUGCCUGGUAGCGGGGGAUAACUAUUGGAAACGAUAGCUAAUACCGCAUAAGAGUAGAUGUUGCAUGACAUUUGCUUAAAAGGUGCAAUUGCAUCACUACCAGAUGGACCUGCGUUGUAUUAGCUAGUUGGUGGGGUAACGGCUCACCAAGGCGACGAUACAUAGCCGACCUGAGAGGGUGAUCGGCCACACUGGGACUGAGACACGGCCCAGACUCCUACGGGAGGCAGCAGUAGGGAAUCUUCGGCAAGGGACGGAAGUCUGACCGAGCAACGCCGCGUGAGUGAAGAAGGUUUUCGGAUCGUAAAGCUCUGUUGUAAGAGAAGAACGAGUGUGAGAGUGGAAAGUUCACACUGUGACGGUAUCUUAACAGAAAGGGACGGCUAACUACGUG